UCAGCCACAGUUCUUUUGGGUACUCAAAUGAGAGGAAGAGGAAGUGAAUAAAGCUAAUACUAAAUACACAGCAGCAAGUGAAGGCAGGGAUGUAGAUAUAAAGGACGGGGUUGGGGGUGGGGGAAAGCAUGCUUUUGCUGGAAUCCAUCUGUUUUCUAGCAUCACCUUUUAAAGGUAUGGAUGUUAACAGGAUAUAGGCAUCUCUCAAAUUCGAGAGGGCGGAUGCUUCUGUAGCCAGAAGGACCCCUGGCUCUCAGAGAGUGACUGGGAGGGGACAAAAUGGAGGUGAGGUCUAGGGGCGCCCUAAAGGUCGUUUGGAGGUCUAGCAAGCAUUUGAUGUGCUCCUCUCAAAAGGGUCUUGGCAAAGACUCAUACUCCUAUCAGGACGAUGACUUUUGGCCUUGGGUCACGAUAAGCGGCAAAAAGAGGCAAGCCAAUUCGCGAGGACCCCAACCUCUACCAAAGGAGAAGAUAGUGACCUCAGGAAUCUUCCUGGCCUCAGGAGAGGCAAGAGGGUAGAUUGGCCGGGCUCAGGAAGAAAGCGAGCGGAUUCGGGGAAAAGGAAUAUCCACCUAGCCUCCUCCUGGCUCAGAGAGAUCUUAACACUCUGACUGAAGGCAUUCCUUCUUCUGGAAGCCUGAGCUAAUGUUCUCAUCCGUUUAUCUUGCCUCUCACUGCGUCAAGAUCCCCACUCCCGCCCGCUAAUGAAAUAAUCACAACGAUGCAGGGUUUUCACGUUACGCCUUCCUUUUCCACGACCAUGUAAUGGCAAAAGAACUCAGAACUGAUAAGAAAAAGUCACUGCAGCACUGUGACAUCUUAAUGGCCCUAGUCGUUGUGAAUAAGCCAAUCCUACAAACGCCUUUCCCAAGAGAUUCAAGAAAUUAUACUGGUAAAAAUAAAAUUCCAGUGAACUGUCUCAGGACUUAAAAAGGGACAGACGAAACUACAAAUGAGCCAGGACAAACUGCCAAGAAUAUAUCACCAAACGAAAUAAAUGUCAAGUAUUCUUCCAGUUCCCUGGUGCAUAAUGGUGGACUAGCUUCCUCUUCCUGCUGAUAAUGGGCAUUUCACUUUGCUUGCUAUUUUCCAUUUCCCCAUAGAAUUACCAGAUAUGCCUCACCCUCUCAAAUUACAAACUACAAUACUUCUUAAAAGUGCGCAUCAAAACCAUCUGGAGCUCUUGUUCGAAUAUGGGUACCUAUAUAACCCCUAUAUGUUUUGAUCAGGAUUUAAAUGAGACUAAACAUUUUGAGUUUUUAAUAAGCAUCCCAGGUGACAAAUCGGGGGCUAGUUGAGAGUACAGAGCUACAGUUUUUGUGUGUUACUGCUCUAAAGCCAUAGUACGCAUUUAAUUUCCAACUGACCUGGUCACUUAAACCUAAUUUGCCUAUAAAUUUUGCUGAGGCAGUCAUGCAGUUUCCUUAUUCAAGAUUGACCUAGAAAGUUUAGGACUUCAAACAACAGGUUUAAUUGUCAUCUUUAAUUUUAUGAGAUCUUGUUAUUAAUCCCAGAAAUAGGUAAUCGUUUCUCAGGGAUGAAAUUCACUGGUUACCUAGAGUAUACAGAGAACUGACAUCUGUAGUGGGGUUAAACAAAAGUUGGAAGAAUGAUCAUCCCUGCCCUCAAUACACUUAGUAGAAAUAAAACAAACACAACAUAGACCCAGUAUAACACAAAAAUCAAUAUGUUAGACUGAGAUUAAAAAAAAACUUGUAAUUAAA
Molecule: long non-coding RNA, 1724 nt
Organism: Ictidomys tridecemlineatus (thirteen-lined ground squirrel)
Lineage: Eukaryota; Metazoa; Chordata; Mammalia; Rodentia; Sciuridae
Source: RefSeq, a predicted model, not a curated record